Aneurinibacillus sp. XH2 is the source of this 105-nucleotide regulatory RNA element. It matches the Rfam family "S10-Clostridia ribosomal protein leader". The record is from Rfam. NCBI's taxonomy places the organism in Bacteria, Bacillati, Bacillota, Bacilli, Caryophanales, Paenibacillaceae.
UGAAUGCGAUGAUGCGGGAGGUUGCUGACACACCAGGCUCCGAUGCCAUGGCCUGGGAUCAGGUUUUUCCGCUGAGAAUUGUCUGUUUUUCAAAAUAGGCGACAA